AUUGAACGCUGGCGGCAGGCCUAACACAUGCAAGUCGAGCGGAUGAAGGGAGCUUGCUCCUGGAUUCAGCGGCGGACGGGCGAGUAAUGCCUAGGAAUCUGCCUGGUCGUGGGGGAUAACGUCCGGAAACGGGCGCUAAUACCGCAUACGUCCUGAGGGAGAAAGUGGGGGAUCUUCGGACCUCACGCUAUCAGAUGAGCCUAGGUCGGAUUAGCUAGUUGGUGGGGUAAAGGCCUACCAAGGCGACGAUCCGUAACUGGCCUGAGAGGAUGAUCAGUCACACUGGAACUGAGACACGGUCCAGACUCCCACGGGAGGCAGCAGUGGGGAAUAUUCGACAAUGGGCGAAAGCCUGAUCCAGCCAUGCCGCGUGUGUGAAGAAGGUCUUCGGAUUGUAAAGCACUUUAAGUUGGGAGGAAGGGCAGUAAGUUAAUACCUUGCUGUUUUGACGUUACCAACAGAAUAAGCCCCGGCUAACUUCGUG
This 484-nucleotide ribosomal RNA is filed under the name uncultured bacterium. RNAcentral describes it as "partial 16S ribosomal RNA". It matches the Rfam family "Bacterial small subunit ribosomal RNA", at positions 30 to 507 of the family's 1533-position model. The record is from RNAcentral.